AGGUUCUAAAUGCCGGUGUACUCGGUUAUCGUCCACCUGAAUUCGCGAGUACAAGUAAACCUUGUCCGUCUUUGAAAAGUGACGUCUACGCUUUUGGUGUUAUCUUGUUGGAACUUUUGACAGGAAGAAGUUCUGCAGAAAUUGUUCCUGGGAACUCAGAGGUGCUGGAUUUAACCGAAUGGGCGAGAUUGUUGGCCUUUCAAGACCGUUCAAUCGAGUGCUUCGAUCCAUUCUUACUGGGAAAGCAAAG
Molecule: unclassified non-coding RNA, 250 nt
Filed under: Hevea brasiliensis (rubber tree)
Lineage: Eukaryota; Viridiplantae; Streptophyta; Magnoliopsida; Malpighiales; Euphorbiaceae
Source: RNAcentral